AACGCGAAGAACCUUACCAGGACUUGACAUAAUAUUGACCGGUAUAGAGAUAUACCUUUUUCUUCGGAAACAGUAUUACAGGUGGUGCAUGGUUGUCGUCAGCUCGUGUCGUGAGAUGUUGGGUUAAGUCCCGCAACGAGCGCAACCCUUAUCUUUAGUUGCCAGCACGUAAUGGUGGGAACUCUAAAGAGACUGCCGAUGAUAAAUCGGAGGAAGGUGGGGAUGACGUCAAAUCAUCAUGCCCUUUAUGUCCUGGGCUACACACGUGCUACAAUGGUUGGAAACAAAGAGAAGCUAAACAGUGAUGUCAUGCAAAUCUCAUAAAGCCAAUCUCAGUUCGGAUUGUAGGCUGCAACUCGCCUACAUGAAGUCGGAGUUGCUAGUAAUCGCAGAUCAGAAUGCUGCGGUGAAUGCGUUCCCGGGCCUUGUACACACCG
This 437-nucleotide ribosomal RNA is filed under the name uncultured bacterium. Its description in RNAcentral is "bacterial SSU rRNA". It matches the Rfam family "Bacterial small subunit ribosomal RNA", at positions 958 to 1392 of the family's 1533-position model. The record is from RNAcentral.